GUAUUAUACAAACAGCUGUUUGCUUAACAGAAGAAACCAAACAAUAAGAGCCAAGUAACAACCAAGAAAACCAACAUCCUUCUAAGUGGACCUAAAAGGCCAAGUGAGCUUUUCUCAUCACUUGGCGUCCGUCAUCGUUAACUUUUACAAAAAUCUUCUCCUCUGAAACUACUGGGCCAAAUUUAACCAAACUUGGCCACAAUCAUCUUUUGUGUAUCCAGUUUAAAAAUUGUGUCUGAUGACCUGGCCAACAAACCAAGAUGAUCGCCAUGGCUAAAAAUAGAACAUAGGGGUAAAAUGUAGAUUUUGGCUUAUAACUCUGAAACCGAAGCAUUUAGAGUAAAUCUGACAUGGGG
RNAcentral lists this long non-coding RNA (356 nucleotides) under Mytilus galloprovincialis (Mediterranean mussel). The record is from RNAcentral. Lineage: Eukaryota; Metazoa; Mollusca; Bivalvia; Mytilida; Mytilidae.